GCACGCCUGACAAGUGCGCCUCCCCCUCUGCCCCGUGUUUGACAUCCACAUCGUUAUAGGUUCGCCCCUGGCUGCUUUAUUUUUAAGGGAAGCUCUACGCCAGCUACAGAUUACACAUUCUGCCCUCAAACACACGGAGGGAAGCAGAAGCGGGUGCGACGCGGGGGGAAAACAGGCGCGGUCUUUCUCGGCUGGACAGCUUUUUGCGCGCAGUUGGAGGAGGGGAAUUUAUAAGAUACGUGCAUAUUUAAUCAUUUUUUACUUAAAGUCGAAGGAGGUGCACAUUUUAGACUGCGGUGAGAUCUUUCUGCACACCUGUGGAUGCAGUAAAAGCUCGCUUGAUGCUCCGGACUCCAAUCCCCAGUACACGCAGGAUUCUCCAGUUUCUAACCCCCCCGUCCAACAUGCUGCUGAGCGUCCCCCUCUUGGUGCUCCCCUUGCUGAGCAUCACCGACUGCGGCGCGUCGUUCGUGCCGUGCGAACCUUGCGACCAGAAGGCCCGCUCCAUGUGUCCGCCGGUGCCGGUGGGAUGCCAGGUGGUGAAGGAGCCCGGCUGCGGCUGCUGCCUGACGUGCGCGCUGGAGGAGGGGCAGUCGUGCGGGGUGUACACGGGUCCGUGCUCACGCGGACUCCGAUGCCUGCCCAAGAAUGGCGAGGAGAAGCCGCUGCACGCCCUCCUGCACGGCCGGGGGGUGUGCAGGAACGAGAAGUUGUACAAACUGCUGCAUCCUUCCAAAGAUGAUCUCCCAGAGUCCGUGAUGCCCCAAACCAAGGUGCCCAUAUACGGACGGGAUCACAUUAGCAGUAGGAAGGCCCAGGCGAUGAAGCAGGCCAAGGAACGCAAAAAGCAGCUCGCCAGGGUGGGACGCAACAGCAACCUGGACUUCACUCUCAUUGGCCUGGAGAAAAUGGAGCCUGAGUUUGGCCCCUGCAGGAGACGUCUGGAUCACCUCAUUCAGAGCAUGAAGGACACAUCUCGGGUCUUGGCUCUGUCUUUGUACAUCCCUAACUGUGACAAAAAAGGUUUCUUCAAGCGCCGACAGUGCAAGCCGUCUCGGGGUCACCGGAGGGGAAUCUGCUGGUGCGUGGACCGCUUUGGCGCCAAGAUCCCGGGCAUCAACUACGCUGGCGGGGACUUGCAAUGCAAAGACUUGGACAGCGGCAGCAACAGAAAUGAGUGAGCUCGAGUUAAACCGGCAAACGAUUCAUGACCGCUCUCUGGUCAUGUGAUGGACGGGAUGCUGAAACACUUGUUUUUUAUAGGUUACGUAACUGUGGCUCCCCAAUGACUGUGUUCAUUUUCUCUAUAUCCAUAGAUUAUAGACAAUAUACGUAUAUACCGUUAUACACACAUUCAUAUGUGUGUAAUAUUGAGAACAUGUUGUACAUUGAGUCUGAUUGAUUUACAUGUUUUAAAUGUGAUUCAGCUCCUGGGAGAGGUUUUGUUUCAUAUUUUAAGGGAGAAGUUAUUCAGAAGGGGCUGCUUCUUCAUUGCCCACCAUUAGAAAGUUCAGAAAAGAGAUGUGUGAGUCACAUGUUUUUGUCUGAAUCAGGACUCAGUACUCAUCUCUGUUAACUCAUCCAAUUAAACAACUGUGCUACGGCCUGCUAAAAUUAAAAAAGGAAAUCAGCUGUAUCACAGGCUCGAUUCUCACUCAGCCCGUGACCUUCACUGACUCAAGGUUGUUCGACUGAUAUUCGAGUUUCACUGACUCACGGGUUGAAGAAGACUUGAGUUUCACUGCCACUGGUGCCAGAUGAAGACUCUGGUUUUUGACCGACUCCUGGCUACUCAAUGAAGAUUUUAAUUUUACUGACUCACUGGUGUUUUAUAAAGACUCACAUGUCACUGACUCACAGGUUGACAAAGACUCAAGUUUUGUUGACUCACAGGUUGAUGAAAACUCAAGUGUCAUUGACUCAUGGAUGCUCAAUGACUUGACACAGAUCCAAGUUUCAUUGACUCACCGAUGUUUCAAGUUUCACUGACUCACAGGUUGACAAAGACUCCAGUUACACUGACUCAUGGGAUGAUGAAUCAUUGAGUUUUAAUGACUCACUGUGUUUCAAGUUUCACUUACUAACAGGUUGACAAAGACUUGAGUUUCACUGACUCACGGAUUAAGACUCAGGUUUAAUUGACUCACAGGUGUGUGACAGCGUUUUACUGACUAAAGGGUUGAUGAAAACUCGAGUUUCAUUGACUCAAGGGUUGAUAAAAACUCGAGUUUCAUUGACUUAUGGAUGCUCGACGAGUUGACACAGUCUUGAGUUUCAUUGACUCACGGGUGUUUCAAGUUUAAUUUGCUCACAAGUUGGCAAAGACUCCAGUUUCACUGAUUCACAAGUGUUUGACGACUUUGACGACUUGAGUUUCAUUGACUCAUGAGCUGAUGGAGCAGGUGUCAUUGACUCACAGGAAUUUGAUGAAAACCCAAGUGUCACUGAUUCUCAGGUUGACAAAGACUUGAGUGUCACUGACUUACUGGUUAACGAACACUCAAGUUUCAUUGACUCACAGGUGUUUGACAAAGACUCCAGUGUCACUGACUAAGGGGUUGGUCAAGACUCGUGUUUCAUUGACUCACGGGGCGUUUGACGAAGAAAGGAGUGUCACUGUCUCACGUGUCGACAAAGAUUUGAGUUUCAUUGACUUCGAGUGCUCAACGAAAACUGCCGUUUCAAGUUCAGGAACGUGUUCAAGAUUAUGUGCCUCCAUUGAACCGAGUACCCGAUACAAUGGGGGAAGGGACUUGUUGGGUAUGUCCAAGAUUCUGUGCAUGUGCUUUUUAACGAGUGAGUCACGUACCUGAUUUACUUCAGUGAGUGACUCAGUGGAGUGGAGUCAGGUGAAGGAAUCAGGUUUGCCGUUACUGUGUCGGUAUCCAGCAUCUAGAAAUGACAAUUUUCUCAGAUAGGAUGCUAAGAAAUACUCUCGCCAAAUUGAAAUGCCAAAGAAAAAAACCCGGUCAUAUAGCUGUGAUUCAAUAGCAUAUCAUACAAAUCAUUCCAAAAUCUAACUGGAUGCUACAUUAUUAUCUUUAAACAUGUAAAAUAGUUGAUACAUCUCAUUCAAUCUUGUGUAUUUUCCAUGUUGGGCUGAAAAAAUAGUUCAGCCUUCCCAAACAAAACAGUGCAUUUAAGUGCAUUAAGUCCUCACAGAAUCUACAAAACACGAGUCAAAUAUGCUUUAAUGUAACGUCAAAUGUUUUUCAAAGUCCAUCACCUUUUCUGUAAAUGUGUGUGCAGUCUGUGUUCAUGUUCCUGAUGAUACUGUUGUUGUGUGUGCAAUGUGUAGCUGCCAUGCCCUUCUCCAAAAAUCACUCACAUCCUUUGCGGCUUGCACACAAAUGGUAUGCAAAGGUCUGAUGUCUUCACAGGCAAAUACGCCCCGGUGACAGGGCCUGGCUGUACACGUGCGGCCGCUGAGUUUAUAUGGAAAUCCAAGUGCCUUUGGCCGCAUGCCACUUUGAAUUGCCAUUUGCAUGCGUGUGUGUGGCACCGCUGGCAGUCAAAGCCAGUGUUGAUGUUGAACCUAUUUAGUAGGACUUAAUGACAGUUGCGCCGGUUCCUCCCCAAGAUUAGACCCUGUCAAUUCAAGCACAUGUGACACAAUAUGGCAAAUACAAAGAUUCUGUGAGCACUGUUAAAAUAUUUAUCAUGCGUGUCAUUGAUGUACUCAGUUUUUGUAAGACAAAGCACUAAUUCAAUAAAAAUCCUGUACUCUUGA
Non-coding RNA from Doryrhamphus excisus (bluestripe pipefish), 3730 nucleotides. NCBI's taxonomy places the organism in Eukaryota, Metazoa, Chordata, Actinopteri, Syngnathiformes, Syngnathidae. The record is from RefSeq and is a predicted model, not a curated record.